RNAcentral lists this ribosomal RNA (305 nucleotides) under uncultured bacterium. RNAcentral describes it as "bacterial SSU rRNA". It matches the Rfam family "Bacterial small subunit ribosomal RNA", at positions 28 to 329 of the family's 1533-position model. The record is from RNAcentral.
GACGAACGCUGGCGGCGUGCUUAACACAUGCAAGUCGAGCGAGAAACCCUCUUCGGAGGGGAGUACAGCGGCGAACGGGUGAGUAACACGUGGGCAACCUGCCCCAAGGAGCGGGACAACCCGGGAAACCCGGGCUAAUACCGCAUGUUCCGCGGUGCCUCAAGGCACCUCGGGAAAUGGUAGCUUCGGCCUCCGCCUUGGAUGGGCCGCGGCGCAUUAGCUUGUUGGUGGGGUAAUGGCCCACCAAGGCGACGAUGCGUAGCUGGUCUGAGAGGACGAUCAGCCACACUGGGACUGAGACACGG